GACGAACGCUGGCGGCGUGCUUAACACAUGCAAGUCGAACGGAAAGGCCCUGCUUGCAGGGUACUCGAGUGGCGAACGGGUGAGUAACACGUGGGUGAUCUGCCCUGCACUUCGGGAUAAGCCUGGGAAACUGGGUCUAAUACCGGAUAUGACCUUCCAUGUAGUGUGUGGGGUGGAAAGAUUUAUCGGUGUGGGAUGAGCCCGCGGCCUAUCAGCUUGUUGGUGGGGUAAUGGCCUACCAAGGCGUCGACGGGUAGCCGGCCUGAGAGGGUGGACGGCCACAUUGGGACUGCGAUACGGCCCAGACUCCUACGGGAGGCAGCAGUGGGGAAUAUUGCACAAUGGGCGGAAGCCUUAUGCAGCGACGCCGCGUGGGGGAUGACGGCCUUCGGGUUGUAAACCUCUUUCGACAGGGACGAAGCUUCGGUGACGGUACCUGUAUAAGAAGCACCGGCUAACUACGUG
This 465-nucleotide ribosomal RNA is filed under the name uncultured bacterium. RNAcentral's name for it is "partial 16S ribosomal RNA". It matches the Rfam family "Bacterial small subunit ribosomal RNA", at positions 28 to 507 of the family's 1533-position model. The record is from RNAcentral.